Molecule: ribosomal RNA, 320 nt
Filed under: uncultured Mycobacterium sp.
Lineage: Bacteria; Bacillati; Actinomycetota; Actinomycetes; Mycobacteriales; Mycobacteriaceae
Description: bacterial SSU rRNA
Rfam family: Bacterial small subunit ribosomal RNA
Source: RNAcentral
GACGAACGCUGGCGGCGUGCUUAACACAUGCAAGUCGAACGGAAAGGCCCUUUCGGGGGUGCUCGAGUGGCGAACGGGUGAGUAACACGUGGGUGAUCUGCCCUGCACUUUGGGAUAAGCCUGGGAAACUGGGUCUAAUGCCGGGUAGGACCUCGGCCUGCAUGGGUUGGGGUGGAAAGUAUGGUGUUUUCGAGCGCUGUGCGGUGGGGGAUGGGCCCGCGGCCUAUCAGCUUGUUGGUGGGGUGAUGGCCUACCAAGGCGACGACGGGUAGCCGGCCUGAGAGGGUGUCCGGCCACACUGGGACUGAGAUACGGCCCAG